CAGCAGCCGCGGUAAUACGUAGGUGGCAAGCGUUGUCCGGAAUUAUUGGGCGUAAAGGGCUCGCAGGCGGUUUCUUAAGUCUGAUGUGAAAGCCCCCGGCUCAACAGGGGAGGGUCAUUGGAAACUGGGAAACUUGAGUGCAGAAGAGGAGAGUGGAAUUCCACGUGUAGCGGUGAAAUGCGUAGAGAUGUGGAGGAACACCAGUGGCGAAGGCGACUCUCUGGUCUGUAACUGACGCCGAGGAGCGAAAGCGUGGGGAGCGAACAGGAUUAGAUACCCGCGUAGUCCCUGUCUCUUAUAA
RNAcentral lists this ribosomal RNA (301 nucleotides) under uncultured bacterium. RNAcentral describes it as "partial 16S ribosomal RNA". It matches the Rfam family "Bacterial small subunit ribosomal RNA", at positions 509 to 809 of the family's 1533-position model. The record is from RNAcentral.